This 346-nucleotide ribosomal RNA is filed under the name Klebsiella oxytoca. RNAcentral's name for it is "bacterial SSU rRNA". It matches the Rfam family "Bacterial small subunit ribosomal RNA", at positions 390 to 728 of the family's 1533-position model. Lineage: Bacteria; Pseudomonadati; Pseudomonadota; Gammaproteobacteria; Enterobacterales; Enterobacteriaceae. The record is from RNAcentral.
AGCCAUGCCGCGUGUAUGAAGAAGGCCUUCGGGUUGUAAAGUACUUUCAGCGGGGAGGAAGGGAGUGAGGUUAAUAACCUUAUUCAUUGACGUUACCCGCAGAAGAAGCACCGGCUAACUCCGUGCCAGCAGCCGCGGUAAUACGGAGGGUGCAAGCGUUAAUCGGAAUUACUGGGCGUAAAGCGCACGCAGGCGGUCUGUCAAGUCGGAUGUGAAAUCCCCGGGCUCAACCUGGGAACUGCAUUCGAAACUGGCAGGCUGGAGUCUUGUAGAGGGGGGUAGAAUUCCAGGUGUAGCGGUGAAAUGCGUAGAGAUCUGGAGGAAUACCGGUGGCGAAGGCGGCCCC